Long non-coding RNA from Rhagoletis zephyria (snowberry fruit fly), 1340 nucleotides. RefSeq lists it as uncharacterized. The record is from RefSeq and is a predicted model, not a curated record. Lineage: Eukaryota; Metazoa; Arthropoda; Insecta; Diptera; Tephritidae.
GCAGUAUAACCCGUGGUCCAUUACAAUAGAACUGCAGCAAAGACAUUACUGCCGGUAGCAAUUAUUUUCAAAUGAUCGGAGUGUAUUUAACGGCUCCUACGUGACGGAAUUUCCAACGCUCAUUAAACUUAAUACUUAGCAUUGUAAAGUGUAAACUAUAUGGAAGUUAAAAGGCUUUAUUUUAUAUUUGGUAAACAUUUUAUAAACAAUAGAACUUAAGCCCAGAAUCUUUCGGUAAUAGAUAAUUAAUAUUGUAAUCCACUACAAAAUAUAUGUAUGUUUUUAUAGAUACAUAUCGUCACCUGAAAUGCAAAAAGACGUAACAUAAAUUUUCGCUGAAAUACAAAAAGUCGUAAAAAUUCAAAAUUCACUUUUUCUUUAGAUAUAAUGAAAAAAAAAUUAUUAGUCACGACUUUUUCCAUUUCAGUGACAAUGUUUGUUACGCCUUUUUGUAUUUUUGGUGUCGGAUAUGUACAUAUGUAUGUAAAUAUAUCGCUCAUUUACUUCAAUAGUGUCAUUAUGUCAAAUUUAUAAAUUUUUGUGCGAGUAUGCAGAAAUUACAGCUACAUUUCAUAGCUCUAGCGAUUACUAGUAUCUCACUUGAACAAAAUAUGUAUUAACUUUUACUAUGGGAGUAUAUUGAGGGCUUAUUUCAAUACGAUCUAUCUACAGUUUUCACAAAAAUAAGAUUCCUAUAUAAAGAUGCAACUUAAAGCAUAAACUGACGGCAGCAUCGAUCCGGAUCAACUCGUUAAUUCGGAAUUGCCUCGGGAAUUAACUGCAUUUGAUCCGAAUUAAGUCCUAGAUUUAAUUACCAAAACUUAACUAGGAUCAAGAGAAUAUUCGAUGACAACACCGACCGAAACUUAGAGAGCGUAGAAUACAGAGAAAGAGCAAAGCAAGCAUGGGCACAUACCUUUUUAUCGUUAAUGCAGUUACCAUACUAAUUCAAAUAGGAAUCCAAUUGAAAUUGAAUAAAAACUUAUUUGAAUUAAUACGGUGACUGCAUUUCCGACGACAAGGUGGAUGUCAAUGCUAGUGUUAAAUUUUCUUCGUGUUCUACGCUCUCUGAGUAAACAAAUACGCAAACACAGCAGUUCGAUCCCCAAAAAAUUCCAAAAAAAAAAUUAGUUUUUAUUGUUACUUAAAUUUUUUAGUUUUAUUUGAUUGAUAUAUUUAAUUUAACUUUAUUUUAUUUUCGUUUAUUUUAUUUCACAUUUUUUAUUUUAUUUUAGUUAAUUUAAAAUUUUAGAGUUUAAUUUUACUAAAAAUGUCAAAGACAACUAACACUAAAAACACGCGUCGAUAAUCCAGAUCAACGUUGCCGUCUCUCUAUGCUU